Molecule: unclassified non-coding RNA, 208 nt
Filed under: uncultured Postia
Lineage: Eukaryota; Fungi; Basidiomycota; Agaricomycetes; Polyporales; Polyporaceae
Description: sequence contains ITS2
Source: RNAcentral
AAUCAUCAACUCUUAUUUCUUUUUCAGAGAUGAGAGCUUGGACUUGGAGGUUUUUGCUGGCACUUUGUGCCGGCUCCUCUUGAAUGCAUUAGCUUGAACCUUUGCUGUAUCGGCCUCGGUGUGAUAAUUGUCUACGCCGUGGCUGUGAGGCUUAUUUUUAAAUGGGCUCAGCUUCUAAUGGUCUGCUUGCGGACAACAUCUCAUUGAC